CCCUUAGAUGUUCUGGGCCGCACGCGUGCUACACUGAGUAAUUCAAUGGGUAAGGGAACGCUAGAGCAUUACCUAAUCUUGAAAUUUGCUCGUGAUGGGGAUCGACGGUUGCAAUUUUCCGUCGUGAACGAGGAAUACCUUGUAGGCGCAUGUCAUCAUCAUGCGCCGAAUAUGUCCCUGCCCUUUGUACACACCGCCCGUCGCUCCUACCGAUUGAGUGAUCCGGUGAGGCUCUGGGACCUGGACGGAAAGAGCGUUUCGCUUGUUCUGUUUGGGAAACUUGGUCGAACCUUAUCAUUUAGAGGAAGGAGAAGUCGUAACA
RNAcentral lists this ribosomal RNA (322 nucleotides) under uncultured eukaryote. RNAcentral describes it as "partial 18S ribosomal RNA". It matches the Rfam family "Eukaryotic small subunit ribosomal RNA", at positions 1470 to 1796 of the family's 1831-position model. The record is from RNAcentral.